UUGCCCGAUGUGUGUGUGGUUGUUCUCGUGAUCGUGAUGACACCGUCGCUUGACUGAGCGUGACCGGCAAUGACUUGCGUGCUCGCGCCGGUACAUCUCAUACUUACCUGGCAGGGGAGAUACCAUGAUCAAGAAGGUGGUUCUCCCAGGGUGAGGCUCAACCAUUGCACUUGGGUUGUGCUGACCCCUGCGAAUUCCCCAAAUGUCGGAAUCUCGACUGCAUAAUUUCUGGUAGUGGUGGACUGCGUUCGCGCUCUCCCCUGAUCUCAUGUCAAUACCAAUGUUAAGGAACUAGAUGUACCGGCAGAAGACAGUCUACACUCCGGACUGGCUACCAGCCACACUCACAAUCACACCGUUUCCCACUGGAGUUAAUUUAGAGUCCAAAUAAUGUCGCAUGUUUAUGGUAUGUGGGAGGAAACACACGCAGGCACGGGGAGAACAUAGACACAGACGGGGCUGGUAUUGAACCUCAGAAUUGUGAGGUCAUCGCUUUUCAAAUGCAUCACCGUGCCACCCCAAAGUGAACUGAAAUUGCUAUUUUUAAUGCUGAUUUCAUUUAUUAGAAGAAAAGAAUAUUCAAAGUUACUUGGGUGUGUGACAAAGUAAUGCCCCCUAAACGUAAUAACUAGUUGGGCCACCCUCGGGAGCAACAACUGAACUCGAGCAUUUUCUAUAACUGGAAAUUAGUCUUUACGUGUCUCUGGAGAUAUUUUUCUUCUUUCUUAUCGAGUUGUCUUAAUUCAACAUGAACAGCUUUUUUAAGAUCAUGCCAAUACAUUUUAUUGAAAUCAAGACUGACUGACUAAACCACUCACAACAUUUUUGUUUAAAGGUGUUCAUAAGUUACUGUAAUUUGCUUGUGUGUUUUGGAUCAUUGUCCUGCUGCAGAACCCAAGUGGGCUUCAAUUUGAGAUCACAAAAUGAUGGGUGAAUAUUCACCACCAGCCUUUUCUUGUAAAGAGCAGAAUUCAUGGUUCUGCGUUUAACAGUCAUCCCUGAACUUCUCUCCUCCAAACUUCUCCAGCUCAGCGUCUCGCCUGCCAUUUCCCAGUGGAUCGACAACUUCCUCACGGGCAAGGUGAGGCUUUUCGCUAUGAUGCUGCACGCAAAUGGAAUAAGUUGCCAACAGAGGGGUGGCACAGUGGAGCAGCUGUAAAGCGUUGGCCUCACAGUUCUGAGGUCCUGGGUUCGGUCCUGACCCUGCCUGUUUGGAGUUUGCAUGUUCUCCCUGUGCCUAUAUGGGUUUUCUCCGGUUUCCUCCCACAUCCCCAAAACUUGCAACAUUAAUUGGACACUCUAAAUUGCUCCGAGGUGUGAUUGUGAGUGUGGCUGUUUGUCUCAAUGUGCCCUGCGACUGGCUGGGAACCAGUUCAGGGUGUACCCUGCCUCCUGCCCGUUGACAGCUGGAAUAGGCACCAGCCCUCCCGCGACCCUCAUGAGGAUAAGUGGCUGAGGAAAUGGAUGGAUGUUGUUUUCAGGAAAAGAAGGGAACCAGCUCAAGAGGAAGAGCCCUCGCUUAGCAGGGAAAUUUGCUUGCAGAGCACAUGAGAUGGAGUGGGAUUUGUUCCUGCAAUCUCCUUUUGACUUUCAACUGUCUGCUGAGGUUUCUUCCACUUUUUGAAGAAGACCUAUCCGAGUUUCAAAAUAAA
This is a long non-coding RNA of Syngnathoides biaculeatus (alligator pipefish), 1652 nucleotides long. RefSeq lists it as uncharacterized. The record is from RefSeq and is a predicted model, not a curated record. The transcript is spliced from 3 exons. Lineage: Eukaryota; Metazoa; Chordata; Actinopteri; Syngnathiformes; Syngnathidae.